This 433-nucleotide ribosomal RNA is filed under the name uncultured microorganism. RNAcentral describes it as "bacterial SSU rRNA". It matches the Rfam family "Bacterial small subunit ribosomal RNA", at positions 9 to 426 of the family's 1533-position model. The record is from RNAcentral.
GAGUUUGAUCUUGGCUCAGGACGAACGCUGGCGGCGUGCUUAACACAUGCAAGUCGAACGGGGUGCCUAUGAAAGAGAUUUCGGUCAAUGGAUUAGGUUACUUAGUGGCGGACGGGUGAGUAACGCGUGAGGAACCUGCCUUUCAGAGGGGGACAACAGCUGGAAACGGCUGCUAAUACCGCAUGACACAUAUUUAUCGCAUGGUAGAUAUGUCAAAGAUUUAUCGCUGAGAGAUGGCUCGCGUCUGAUUAGCUAGUUGGUAGGGUAACGGCCUACCAAAGGCGACGAUCAGUAGCCGGACUGAGAGGUUGGCCGGCCACAUUGGGACUGAGAUACGGCCCAGACUCCUACGGGAGGCAGCAGUGGGGAAUAUUGGGCGAAUGGGCGCAAGCCUGACCCAGCAACGCCGCGUGAGGAAGAAGGCUUCGGUUGU